CCUACGGGUGGCAGCAGUGGGGAAUAUUGGACAAUGGGGGAAACCCUGAUGCAGCAACGCCGCGUGAGUGAAGAAGUAUUUCGGUAUGUAAAGCUCCAUCAGUAGGGAAGUAGAUGACGGUACCUGAGUAAGAAGCCCCGUCUAACUACGUGCCAGCACCCGCGGCAAUACGCAGGGGGCAAGCGUUAUCCGGAUGUACUGGGUGUAAAGGGAGCGUAGUCGGUGUGAAAAGUCUGAAGUGAAAGCCCGGGGCUCAACCCCGGGACUGCUGUGGAAACUGCCUGACUGGAGUGCUGGAGAGGCAAGCGGAAUGCGUAGUGUAGCGGUGAAAUGCGUAGAUAUUAGGAAGAACCCCAGUGGCGAAGGCAGCUUGCUGGACAGUAACUGACGUUGAGGCUCGAAAGCGUGGGGAGCAAACAGGAUUAGAUACCCGAGUAGUC
Molecule: ribosomal RNA, 440 nt
Filed under: uncultured bacterium
Lineage: Bacteria
Description: partial 16S ribosomal RNA
Rfam family: Bacterial small subunit ribosomal RNA
Source: RNAcentral